AUAUAACACUGUGCCUGUGGCUCCCAUUCUCUUUUCCCAAGACAGGGGUUUCAGAGAAAAUUCCUCCUGCUCUUCUGGACAUCAUGUGUGCAGACAGUGGAUAAGAAGUGCUGCAGCUGCCUUGCUGUCAGCCUGUGGGUAAAGGCAGCGCAGGAGGAACAGAGCAUGAGGAGACAGAGCCAGCUGCUGAUGUUCAAAGGCCCUCUUCACUCUCAGUUGUGACCCAAAUUCCGGCAGUGGCAGAGGAUAGAGAAAUCCAGGACCUAUCUCAAUGGUAAAACUGACAAGGCUUGGUGGCUCCUCAAAUGUGAGCAAGAAGAUGAGGAUGUGUGCCACAGGUUUUGCACAACUCCUCAGAGCUUCUCUCCGCCUGUCUUCCAGCUCCAUGCGAAAGCCCUGUGGAAAGUUGCUUCUCCUAGUGUGGCUCGUGAGUCAGCAGAUAGCAUUGCCUGAGAACGUGCUAAAAAUGCAAGUUCUUAGCCCCACCCACACUCACUGAAUCAGAAUCUCUGCUGGUGGGUUGCUCUCCAGGUGAUGGUUUUGCACAUUCAGAUUUGAGGAUUGUGGAUGCCCAAGAUUGCAUAAGGGAGGAGUCUGGAUCCCUGAGUCACAGUUUGGAGGACAGCCACUCACGGGACCCAGCUGAACAGACCCUCUGGCAUGGGAUUUUAUGGAAGGGAAAAGGUUCAGAACUGGCCAGGUGAUGUUUUUAUUGGGAGGAAAGCUUGGAGAAUCAACAGGAGAAACAGAAAAGAACUUGCAGAACAACCCCUGGGCUACUGAGUUGAGAAAUUGGAGGCUUACUUUCCCACGCUGUCAAAUGGACUUCGGGAUUGACACAGCCUUGUUCAUGGAAAAAAAGACAAAGGAGAUUGGAGCCAUGGAUGGAGAAGAAGUUGAGUUGGAUCAGGCUGCAAGAUCGAAGGGGACAAGAAAGCUGAUGCUAAUGCCUACAGAUCCUUCAGAUCUGAGUCUAGGAGGAGCAUGGACUCGAUGCUUUUGUUCUUUUUCCAAUGACUUACACCUCGAGGGCCCAUAUCAAAGCCCCUUACCCAUGUCAUGGAGUCUCUUGGAGGAAGGAUUAUUGUGUUGGUCAGAGGAGAUAAAAAGAAAAGAUUUUUUUCAUGAAGAAAAGAAGAGCAGGAAUAUACUGGUGCACUUCCAAAACAGCAAAAAAUAAAGGGUCCUGCUUACUUACUUUUUUAACCUGGUGCAAACUCUUAUUUAUCCCCAAAACAAAUCUGCUUUGCUUCCUUUACUUCCCCCUGGAGGCUGACGCCCAAGGCCAUGGAAUGAAAGGACUUCCAGUGGAAAGCCAUAGGUAAG
RNAcentral lists this long non-coding RNA (1326 nucleotides) under Heterocephalus glaber (naked mole-rat). RNAcentral describes it as "lncRNA (ENSHGLG00100032898.1)". The record is from RNAcentral. Lineage: Eukaryota; Metazoa; Chordata; Mammalia; Rodentia; Bathyergidae.